Molecule: long non-coding RNA, 3014 nt
Filed under: Homo sapiens (human)
Lineage: Eukaryota; Metazoa; Chordata; Mammalia; Primates; Hominidae
Description: CYP51A1 antisense RNA 1 (CYP51A1-AS1)
Source: RNAcentral
AAAUAACACUCUGUGAAGCCGUGGUCUUCUUGCGCGGGAUAGGGCACCUGAGGAAGCGGGCUGCGCCUGUGGCACAGUGGUACGGGGCCGGAAGAUAACUUACCUGAAGAGGCGAUCAAUCCCUGAGAAUCGCGGGCGACCCGUUUUUUGUGUGCCCGGGUGCGGGGUGCCGGGACACGGCGUUGAAGGCGCUGAGCGGAGGGAUCUCAGGGCGAGCUCGAGCGGCGACGGCGCGCUCUGUGAUUGCACCGCGAGCGCCUGAGGUGAUCUCGGCCUACAUCGCGUCAGCGGGGCCUUGGGCGUGAGCACCGCCCCCUGUCCGGACGCAGGGUACUGGGGCACCUCGAACUGUGGCACCUCACCCUUCUCCGGGGCCACGUCUUGGGGACUCCGACAGCCCCAAAUAAGCCCUCGGGGACUGGGGUUGUGAAAAGCGAGGUCGUGAAGACGCCGGCCUCAUACCGAAGGGUAGGACGGUGAGGUCAGCCCCGUCCCACUCCAACUAAAAUCAACCUGACAGGAGGUGGUUCAGGAAAACGGUCCCAUUUGGCACCUCAAGUCUAGGUCCCUCAAGUCUCUACAACAGUAUGCAAAGAAAAUGUUCAUCUUCAUUCUUCUUAUAGUUUUCUGGUAACUUACUGAACCAAGCGCACACACACUCUCCAAGGACAAACAUUUUUCAGUGCUGGGACAAUGCAAAUUCAGCUCUCGGCAGACUACUACACACUGUGCAUGAUAUACCAAGACUAAAAGACUCAUAACCUACCCGCAGAAAGAGUGCAUCUUCCAUAGUAGCUCUGCAAAAAGAUCCAAAAGAAACUGUUAAUGGCCUGGCUUAAGUCAAAUUGUGUCCGGAAUUGGUGGGUUCUUCGUCUCACUGACUUCAAGUAUGAAGCCGACCCUCACGGUCAGUGUUACAGCUCUUAAGAUGGCGCCUCUGGAGUUUGUUCCUUCUGAUGUUCGGAUGUGUUCGGAGUUUCUUCCUUCUGGUGGGAUCGUGGUCUCGCUGGCUCAGGAGUGAAGCUGCAGACCUUCGCAACUUCCUUCCAGAGGAAGAUGUUGACUCUAAUGUAUUCUGUCUAGGAUGUGUUUCAUAAAUCUGGUUAGAAGAUUUCCCUUCCAGCAUCAACAAAUUGUUUUCUAAAUGUGGAAAAAGAGACAUUCAGUACAGGCUAACGUAACGUGGGACAGCAUGCAAAGCCAUGAGAAGUGGGAAAAUGAGAGAGAAUCUGGGCGUGGCUUACAGGGCUGCUGAAGUAAGACACACCCUUCGCUUCACCUGUGGCCUCCCGCGGCGGCUGCGGCUCCUUCGCAGGACCGGUAGGGGGCGCGCGCGGUUGAGUCCAGCAAUUGCGAGGACCUCCGCAGGCGCAGCCCAGCACUGACGCCUCUCCGGGCCGUGGCUCCUCUUUCCCAGGCCGAAAGCGGCCGGGCCCUCUGCUCCGCUGCGCCCUGGCGCGGCCGCACCCACUGCGCGUUUGUGAGCUGGCCAUCGGUCACACUGGGAUACUCGAGGAGGAGGCCUGGGGCCUGCAUUCAAUUCCCUAAGAGGGACCCGCGCUGGCCGCUGCAGGCGGGUGGAGAACGGGCGUCUGAGUCUUUGGCUUUCGUACCGGAAUCUCCCCGGGAGAUUUUACAAGCCCCUCCGAAUGUUCUGAUUGAAUUGGUCUGGGGGGGUCGGUCCGGGCAUCUAACGAGCAGCCGGGAUGGAGAAUUACUAGUCUGGAUUCUGGUCCUCAGAGGUUCACUCACGUUAAUCAACCCGAGUCCAUCUUGGUGGGAUUGUCUUGCUCCGAGGCCCUCCCACUGAGCUUUAUUUUCCUGCCUGAUUUCGGGGUCCGCUAACAGGAUGAACAGCGGACCAUACAGGCACGGUGAAAAUGACACUUGGUGACGUGGAAGACCCAGCUUGCCACAGUUGAGGCAGAGCUCCUCAGGGUCUUUUGUCUUAGUUAUCCCCGAGCUAUUUUUCAGGAACCGACAGGCUCCCCCACCCCAACACCGGAUGAAGGCCAGCAACUGGAGGCCAGGAAUAAUCAAGCACGCUCUCAUUUCAAAGAGGUGACGAUUGUGCCCGUGUUUAAAAGGGAUGCCUGAGACCAUGAGGAUUUGGAGUUUUGGAGGCGGAUCUGCCUUUGGGGAGUGAGCGUAGGGCCCUAAGAUGUGGUUGUGCUUUGAGACAGUUCCCAGGGUGAUGUGUCCCAUCAUCCAAACAUUGCAGGAUAAGUCAAAGUUACAGAAAGACUCUAGUUUACUUCCAGCCUAACAUUACCAAAAUACGGUAUUUGUCAGAAAACAUGUAGUAUUUGUAUAAUUUGAGAAUGUAAUUGAAGAACCCGAUAUAGAGCUUUUAGAAAGGGGAAAUAGAAAACUUAAAAAGAAUCUUGCUUGGUAUAUUAAUACCAACAUCUAAAAUAUAAUAAAAUUGAAUAAACCAGUGAGUUUUAUACUAUGAUUGAAAUAAAAUGCCACUAUGUUCUUAAGAGUGCUAGUUUAACAGGAAAUCUCCAAUGCAUUAUUAUCUAGACUCAUCUCAAAGGCUCACUUUUCAUUUGCAUGGGCCCUUGCUAUUUGUAGGGUAGGAGGCAGCACCUCGUUCUGGUGGCUGCCACCUUCAUGAGGAGACACUCCUUGUUAACAGGAUGGUUAGCCCACGGCUCUUCCCAGCCCCCUUUUCCACACCCAGUAAAUUGUUUUAGUUUAUGGCCCUCAGCUGCAGUUGCAAUCAUCAUCAAAUUCCAGUUUUGAAUUUAAAGGUGAAUAAUGAAUGCAAUGAACUUUCUAGAAUUUAUGAAGGGCAGUGAUGUUCCUUUUUAUCUAAUAAUUCUACAUGUGUAGCCUUUCAGUAUGCUAUUCUGUGGACUGAAUUUACAAAUUGUCAUUUGUUUAAUGAACUGUUAAUAUAACAUGAUGACUAACUGAAAACACAUACAAUUUGCUGGUAUUCCAGAAGUCUAUGGAUUUCGUUGUUUUGUUUAAAUAAAAGGCAUUAAAAGCAAAAAAAAAAAAAAAAA